AAGGAACAAAAAAGCAGUUUCUUUGUUCAUCAUAACAGAUCACACACAAUUUAGCAUCGUACAAAUCCUCUGAAGAAGUACUAGAUGAUCCAUCUUCUUCAUCUUCUUCAUUGGUUCCAUAUGUGAAAGGAACUGGCUUUUGUGGCAAUAUAGGUUCAGUCUCAGAAACUUGCCUUGGUGCUGUAUCUACCAUAUUACCCUCAGAAUCACAGGCUCCAAGAUAUUUCAAAACCAGGAAAAUGAUAACAAUUAUAAAUCCUAAAAUAGCAAUGUAAGUUAUUACUCGAGCUACAAAAGAUAGCUCAAUGUACCAUCCACCUAGAUCCCCAUUAUCAGGUGUGGUUACUACAACAUAUUGAGCCUUUGGAAAUGGAAGCAUGAGACGGCAUGAUCCCUUUAUUGUUGAGCAGAUGUUCCUCGCUUUCGAAAGAUCAUAGAGUUUUGAUCUAACAUUUACAUCUACUUUCAUUAUGAUGCUUCUGGGAUUUGUGUUUACCAGACCAAGAUAGUACUUGUCAUCCUCCUGGAUAGUGUACUCAGCAUCUUUACCAUUUAAGGGUUUACUGAGAUUAAGGGUGUCAGGGGAAGUCGUCAACGUAGGCAGCAGAGUUUCAUACUUGCGUUCUCCUUUAAUCAAAACCACUUGAAGUUGAUUUAAAGUACUAGUUUGAGUUUCCCAUCUCAUACGGAUCCUUGAACCCUUGUUCAACCACAGAGAAAAUCCCUUUCGACUGUAAGACGCAACAAUCAUAUAAUCUGAUACGCUCCAAUUGGUUUCGAAACUCAGUUCUGGCUUCUCAGAGAACCCAUAUAGAAGAACCCCUUUCUUAUCAUCGUCUCUCACUUCAACCUGCUCUACAAACACAGAACUUGCCUUCAUCAAACGUGAUGAGCUAGGUCCGAGCACCAUAUGGCGAUCAGCAUAAUAACCAUAUCGCAAACUCACUGAAACACAUAUCCAUAGAGUCAAGGGGACAAGUAAGCGUCCCCAGGAUUCUUUCCAUCGCCAAGAAUAGAUAGGAGCUGGUGGCAACACCGGCCUGAACAUGGCUGCUUCGAGCAGAAUGAAUGGAC
This 1074-nucleotide unclassified non-coding RNA is filed under the name Hevea brasiliensis (rubber tree). The record is from RNAcentral. Lineage: Eukaryota; Viridiplantae; Streptophyta; Magnoliopsida; Malpighiales; Euphorbiaceae.